GGUAAGAUGGCUGAAUUAUAGGCAGUAGAUUGUAAAUCUAUAUAUGGGGUUAAUUACUUCUCAUACCG
RNAcentral lists this transfer RNA (68 nucleotides) under Oyamia nigribasis. Its description in RNAcentral is "tRNA-Tyr". It matches the Rfam family "tRNA". From Rfam's summary of the family: Transfer RNA (tRNA) molecules are approximately 80 nucleotides in length. The record is from RNAcentral. Lineage: Eukaryota; Metazoa; Arthropoda; Insecta; Plecoptera; Perlidae.